GAUGAACGCUGGCGGCGUGCCUAAUACAUGCAAGUCGAGCGAACGGACGAGAAGCUUGCUUCUCUGAUGUUAGCGGCGGACGGGUGAGUAACACGUGGAUAACCUACCUAUAAGACUGGGAUAACUUCGGGAAACCGGAGCUAAUACCGGAUAAUAUUUUGAACCGCAUGGUUCAAAAGUGAAAGACGGUCUUGCUGUCACUUAUCGAUGGAUCCGCGCUGCAUUAGCUAGUUGGUAAGGUAACGGCUUACCACGGCAACGAUGCAUAGCCGACCUGAGAGAGUGGUCGGCCACACGAGAACUGAGACACGGUCCAGACUCCUACGGGAGGCAGCAGUAGGGAAUCGUCCGCAAUGGGCGAAAGCCUGACGGAGCAACGCCGCGUGAGUUAUGAAGGUCUUCGGAUCGUAAAACUCUGUUAUUAGGGAAGAACAUAUGUGUAAGUAACUGUGCACAUCUUGACGGUACCUAAUCAGAAAGCCACGGCUAACUACGUG
This 497-nucleotide ribosomal RNA is filed under the name uncultured bacterium. Its description in RNAcentral is "partial 16S ribosomal RNA". It matches the Rfam family "Bacterial small subunit ribosomal RNA", at positions 28 to 507 of the family's 1533-position model. The record is from RNAcentral.